ACGUGGGUAACCUACCUAUAAGAACUNGGAUAACUCCGGAAAACCGGGGCUAAUACCGNAUAAUAUUUUGAACCGCAUGGUUCAAUAGUGAAAGACGGUUUCGGCUGUCACUUAUAGAUGGACCCGCGCCGUAUUAGCUAGUUGGUAAGGUAACGGCUUACCAAGGCGACGAUACGUAGCCGACCUGANAGGGUGAUCGNCCACACUGGAACUGAGACACGGUCCAGACUCCUACGGGAGGCAGCAGUAGGGAAUCUUCCGCAAUGGGCGAAAGCCUGACGGAGCAACGCCGCGUGAGUGAUGAAGGUCUUCGGAUCGUAAAACUCUGUUGUUAGGGAAGAACAAAUUUGUUAGUAACUACACAAGUCUNA
This 371-nucleotide ribosomal RNA is filed under the name Mammaliicoccus sciuri. RNAcentral's name for it is "bacterial SSU rRNA". It matches the Rfam family "Bacterial small subunit ribosomal RNA", at positions 115 to 473 of the family's 1533-position model. The record is from RNAcentral. Lineage: Bacteria; Bacillati; Bacillota; Bacilli; Caryophanales; Staphylococcaceae.